This 322-nucleotide ribosomal RNA is filed under the name uncultured eukaryote. Its description in RNAcentral is "partial 18S ribosomal RNA". It matches the Rfam family "Eukaryotic small subunit ribosomal RNA", at positions 1470 to 1796 of the family's 1831-position model. The record is from RNAcentral.
CCCUUAGAUGUUCUGGGCCGCACGCGCGCUACACUGAUGCAUUCAACGAGCCUAUCCUUGACCGACAGGUCCGGGUAAUCUUUGAAUCUGCAUCGUGACGGGGAUAGAUUAUUGCAAUUAUUAAUCUUCAACGAGGAAUGCCUAGUAGGCGCAAGUCAUCAGCUUGCGUCGAUUACGUCCCUGCCCUUUGUACACACCGCCCGUCGCUCCUACCGAUUGAAUGUUUCGGUGAAGAUUCCGGAUAGGACUUUUUUGAUUUAUUUCAAUUUUGUCUUAAAAGCUAUCUAAACCUCAACAUUUAGAGGAAGGUGAAGUCGUAACA